AUAACAAUACAGGAUUCUUUAGAGGCCCUGUAAUUGUAAUAAGUCCACUUGAAAUCCUUUAACUAGGAUCAAUUGGAGGGCAAGUCUGGUGCAGAGCGUCUGACCCAUGGGUGCUGCUGCUUGCACAGUCUCUCCAG
Molecule: ribosomal RNA, 137 nt
Filed under: Pelobates cultripes (western spadefoot toad)
Lineage: Eukaryota; Metazoa; Chordata; Amphibia; Anura; Pelobatidae
Description: SSU_rRNA_eukarya
Source: RNAcentral